Molecule: long non-coding RNA, 2041 nt
Organism: Felis catus (domestic cat)
Lineage: Eukaryota; Metazoa; Chordata; Mammalia; Carnivora; Felidae
Exons: 4
Source: RefSeq, a predicted model, not a curated record
GGGAAACCGGAGGAAGACGCGCGCAUCAGGAAAUAGCCCCAGAGACAGCAAGUUCCAGCAAGUUCCGAGAGACCCCGCCGCACUCCCCGGCCUCUCAGGGCUCCUGUUUCAGAAGAACCACAUUCCUUGGUGCUGCGGUGGGAGAAGCCACUUGGAAAGUGUGAGAAGGUCGUUCCCCUUCAUCUACUCCGCAGUUCCCGCUGUGAAUUUCUGGUUCCGGGAGGGAGGGCAGAUCGAGGCCCACAUUUUUACGGCUGUCCAGUUGGUCCACUUUUACCCCAGCUUCUCAUCUCCUCCCCAUCUCUCAGAACCUCCUUGCAAGUCCUGCGCGCGAUCCUCACCUGCUCCGGGCUUGAAGUAGUACGGUUCUGGAGACGUUCUGGAAGGUUCCCAAGCCCGGCCCCUGGGAGCCGCCUAGACGCGGGCUUCCGUUCUCCCUCGGCCCUGCACGCGCAGCGCAGCCUUCGCGCGCUCGCUCCGCGGGCACCAGCAGUUCCCUUCUGUGGCCCCGAUGCGCGACCAAAAGCCCCUUCUCCCCCGCCACCUUCCCUUCUCAGGGUUUUGCCGGGUCCUGUCUCACCCUCCGCACCCCAGCUUUAGGAUCCGUUUAGCGCGUUCUGCAGGUCUGGGGUUACCUGUGUUUGGCAACAAGCCGUAAUUAAGGGAGCCUCUGUCACACCAAGAACUCUCCCCUUCCCGUGCCAACACCCCCUUGCCCUUUGGGCGAACACAUUUCCAGGCCUACGUGCGUUCUUUUAUUCAGUCAACAAACUUUGUGGGAGCGACAGGUGGAGCCGCCACCGAGCCCAGAGGCGACACUCGAGGCCGACGCCGGUGUCUUCCUUCCCUGGGCCCCAGACCAGCACGGUCACGAGCACCGCUGUCUGAGGGUCACAACCUGGCCCAAGCCGGCCCCCACUCUCCUACUUUUUUAUACUUUUUACCUAAUGAAACCGUAUCGAAGGACGAAUUUUCAAGAAAACCGUCUAUUCGGUGGGAGAGUGAAUUAAACGUUGAUCUCCAGUGGAACGUGGCGCUAGGGGUCCGCGCGCACAGGUGGGGCCUUCCGUGGGGCCCGCGGGGUGACCCGCCCGGCACCCCAGCCCCCGUGGUGAGGACGAGCCCUCGCUGCAGGCGGCGCGGCGGGUCUGCGCAGGGGCGUCCGGGCGCCUCCGGGGCCCCCGCUGCUGUCAGGGUCACUGCGCGGGUCUGUUGGGAACCCCUGCGUGGCGCGCAAGGCACAGCGCUUCGGAGUUGUGGGGUCGCCUUCGACCUUCGGGCUCGUCUUCUUGAAGCCGGGCUGACUCGAGGCUUCCUGAGCCGCCGGCGGGCCUGGGAGGUGAGGAGAGGCUGGGCGAGGGCUGGAGAAACCGGACAGUUUGUCUUGAAGAACUGGACCUUCAGGGUCUUGUGGUUACUGGCAACAUCUUUCUGAAAUGCCAGUCACAGGCCUUCAUGGGAUUGUGUUGCUGACUUCAGGAAUGUUUGGACUGGGCUGGAGUGGCCAAAACAUGACAUGUUCUGAAAGUUCUGGUGGCUGGGAAUUCCAAGAUCAAGGUGGAUUCAAUGUCUGGUGAGUGUUCUCUUGCUGGUUCAUAGACCAUCCUCUUCUCGCCGCUUCAUAGGGCGGAGGGAGCUCUCGGGGGUCUCCUAUAAGAACACUAAUCCCGUGCAUGACGGCUCGGCCCUCAUGAGCUCCCCAAAGCCCCGCUUCCUCAUGCCAUUUCGUUGGGGGUUAGGUUCCAACAAAUGACCCUCCUGACCUUAUGAUGCAGAGUGGCAGGAAGUGCCCAGGUUUUACUCCCUGGCACGGGGAAAGGGCGGAGGCGGGCCUGAGGGACAAGAGGGCAGUUCUUUGGGACAACUGGUGUAUAAUCGGUUGGACCAUCUGUGAAGUUCAAGGCCAUGCGACUCUUACUGUUUAUUGAGCUUUGCCCUUGUUUGCCAACAAUGGUACAGGGAUUCAACUUCCUCUGAUCUUCCUGAGCCCCCUCCCCCACCAUCUCCCCUGGGUUCCACCUGUGGCAUUUCCUGUUACUGA